This 441-nucleotide ribosomal RNA is filed under the name uncultured bacterium. Its description in RNAcentral is "partial 16S ribosomal RNA". It matches the Rfam family "Bacterial small subunit ribosomal RNA", at positions 338 to 795 of the family's 1533-position model. The record is from RNAcentral.
CCUACGGGAGGCAGCAGUGGGGAAUAUUGCACAAUGGGGGAAACCCUGAUGCAGCGACGCCGCGUGAGUGAAGAAGUAUUUCGGUAUGUAAAGCUCUAUCAGCAGGGAAGAAGAAAGACGGUACCUGACUAAGAAGCCCCGGCUAACUACCUGCCAGCAGCCGCGGUAAUACGUAGGGGGCAAGCGUUAGCCGGAUUUACUGGGUGGAACGGGAGCGUAGACGGCUGUGCAAGUCUGAAGUGAAAGCCCAGGGCUCAACACUGGGACUGCUUUGGAAACUGUGUGGCUAGGGUGCUUGAGAGGUAAGUGGAAUUCCUAGUGUAGCGGUGAAAUGCGUAGAUAUUAGGAGGAACACCAGUGGCGAAGGCGGCUUACUGGACAGUAACUGACGUUGAGGCUCGAAAGCGUGGGGAGCAAACAGGAUUAGAUACCCCUGUAGUC